AGAGCGAACGCUGGCGGCAUGCUUAACACAUGCAAGUCGCACGGGCAGCAAUGUCAGUGGCGGACGGGUGAGUAACGCGUAGGUAUCUAUCCUUGGGUGGGGGACAACGGCUGGAAACGGCUGCUAAUACCGCAUGAUAACUGAGGUUUAAAGGCGCAAGUCGCCUGGGGAGGAGCCUGCGUACGAUUAGCUAGUUGGUGGGGUAAAGGCCUACCAAGGCAACGAUCGUUAGCUGGUCUGAGAGGAUGAUCAGCCACAUUGGGACUGAGACACGGCCCAAACUCCUACGGGAGGCAGCAGUGGGGAAUAUUGGACAAUGGGCGAAAGCCUGAUCCAGCAAUGCCGCGUGUGUGAAGAAGGUCUUCGGAUUGUAAAGCACUUUCGACAGGGACGAUGAUGACGGUACCUGUAGAAGAAGCCCGGCUAACUUCGUGCCAGCAGCCGC
RNAcentral lists this ribosomal RNA (445 nucleotides) under uncultured bacterium. RNAcentral describes it as "SSU rRNA". It matches the Rfam family "Bacterial small subunit ribosomal RNA", at positions 26 to 518 of the family's 1533-position model. The record is from RNAcentral.